UCUCCUCCAAUCCCUGAAGUUAAGCAACAUUGAGCCUGGUCAGUACAUAGAUGGGUGACUGCUUGAGAAUAUCAGGUGCUGUAA
Acanthosepion pharaonis is the source of this 84-nucleotide non-coding RNA. Lineage: Eukaryota; Metazoa; Mollusca; Cephalopoda; Sepiida; Sepiidae. The record is from the annotation of a GenBank genome assembly.